GAUGAAGAACGCAGCGAAAUGCGAUAAGUAAUGCGAAUUGCAGAAUUCCAGUGAGUCAUCGAAUCUUUGAACGCACAUUGCGCCCUUUGGUAUUCCGAAGGGCAUGCCUGUUCGAGCGUCAUUAUCACCCCUCAAGCCCUCGGCUUGGUGUUGGACGGUUUGGUGGAGGCCCCCUCGGGGGCUCCUGCCCCUCCCAAAGACAAUGACGGCGGCCUCGUUGGACCCCCGGUACACUGAGUUCUUCACGGGACACGUAUCGGACACAUGGGUUUACGGGACACGGUCUGCCUCCCCUCAGGGAGAAUCUUUCUAAGGUUGACCUCGGAUCAGGUAGGGAUACCCGCUGAACUUAAGCAUAUCAAUAAGCGGAGA
RNAcentral lists this unclassified non-coding RNA (372 nucleotides) under soil metagenome. RNAcentral describes it as "partial contains 5.8S ribosomal RNA, internal transcribed spacer 2, and large subunit ribosomal RNA". The stretch from base 1 to 121 matches the Rfam family "5.8S ribosomal RNA", at positions 35 to 154 of the family's 154-position model. The record is from RNAcentral.